RNAcentral lists this ribosomal RNA (463 nucleotides) under uncultured Klebsiella sp. RNAcentral's name for it is "bacterial SSU rRNA". It matches the Rfam family "Bacterial small subunit ribosomal RNA", at positions 338 to 795 of the family's 1533-position model. Lineage: Bacteria; Pseudomonadati; Pseudomonadota; Gammaproteobacteria; Enterobacterales; Enterobacteriaceae. The record is from RNAcentral.
CCUACGGGCGGCUGCAGUGGGAAUAUUGCACAAUGGGCGCAAGCCUGAUGCAGCCAUGCCGCGUGUGUGAAGAAGGCCUUCGGGUUGUAAAGCACUUUCAGCGGGGAGGAAGGCGGUGAGGUUAAUAACCUCAUCGAUUGACGUUACCCGCAGAAGAAGCACCGGCUAACUCCGUGCCAGCAGCCGCGGUAAUACGGAGGGUGCAAGCGUUAAUCGGAAUUACUGGGCGUAAAGCGCACGCAGGCGGUCUGUCAAGUCGGAUGUGAAAUCCCCGGGCUCAACCUGGGAACUGCAUUCGAAACUGGCAGGCUAGAGUCUUGUAGAGGGGGGUAGAAUUCCAGGUGUAGCGGUGAAAUGCGUAGAGAUCUGGAGGAAUACCGGUGGCGAAGGCGGCCCCCUGGACAAAGACUGACGCUCAGGUGCGAAAGCGUGGGGAGCAAACAGGAUUAGAUACCCGAUAGUC